RNAcentral lists this long non-coding RNA (6359 nucleotides) under Sus scrofa (pig). RNAcentral describes it as "lncRNA (ENSSSCG00055026238.1)". The record is from RNAcentral. Lineage: Eukaryota; Metazoa; Chordata; Mammalia; Artiodactyla; Suidae.
AAAUGUAAUUUUGAGUUACUUUUUUUUUUGAACCAUUCUGUUCAUAAAAAUCUGAAUUUCAUGGCUUUUCUUCUUAGAGGUCUCACAAAGAGUGCAUAUAUAUGUAUUUUUUUCUUUUAUGUAGAAUAAAACGCAUUCCUGUAAUUUCAUACAGAUCUGUUGGAGCCUUUUAUAUAACCUAUGAUAUAUUCUUGGAUCUUAAUGAUCUUAUUUUUCCUAUAUUUGAAACAUAUUGCUACUUAAUCAUCCUAGGAAUUAUUUUCUAUCAUUAUUCAUUGAGUAUUUCCAACUAUGACUUUAAAAAAUUUAAAAGGAGAGCAAAAAAUUGUGGAAUUAACUAGAUGGAUAAUAUAAUAGUAAAAUUAAUAAUCAUCUUUCAAGUUUCUCUUGUGUCAUCAAAAAUAUGGCAUCAUCCUUCAAAGGAUAAAAGGGGAGUUCUCAUUUUAGAAAUUUGAUUUAAUUUUUUUAAAUUUUGAAAGAAAUAACACACUUAGACAACCGUUGGAAUUAUAGUACAAAGAACUUGGGUAUGAGUGUUCACUCAUGCCCAUCACCCUGAACAGCUUAGUGUCUAUUUCCUACACAGGGGGACCCCUUGCUACACAAUCACAACAUGGCCUUUGGUCAGACAAUCCACACAGUCCAUACCCCACCUGAUCUCCCUCCCUUUCCCCUCACAGCAUGAGCUCCACUAGCGAGACAACAUUUUUUAAAAAGUUUUAUUGAAGAACAGUUGACUUAUAAUGUUGUGAUAAUUUCUGCUGUACAACAAAUGAUUCAGUUAUACAUGUACACACAUCCAUUCUCUUUCAGAUUCUUUUCCCAUAUGGAUUACCACAGAAUAUUGGGUAGAGUUCCCUGUGUAUGCAUUAGGUCUCUGUUGGUCCAUCAUUCCAUAUAACUCAGUGUGCAUAUGCCAAUCCCACACCCCAUCCAUCGCUUCCCCCUCACUGUCCCCUUUGGUAACCAUAAAUUUUUCAAAGUCCACGAGUCUGUUUCUGUUCUGCAAAUAAAUUCCUUUGUAUCCUUUUUUUAGAAUCCACAUAGAAGUGAUAUCAUAUGAUGUUUGCCUUUGACUAACUUCACUUAGUAUGAUCAUCUCUAGGUCCAUCCAUGUUGCUGCAAAUGGCAUUAUUUCAUUCUUUUUUAUGGCUGAGAUUAUCAUUUUUAUAGCACAUUUUUGUACCAUAUGAUGUCACUUAUAUGUGGAAUCUGAAAUAUAGCACAAAUGAACCUGUUUACAAUACAGAAGAGACUCACAGACACAGAGGACAGACUUGUGGUUGUCAAGGGGGAGGCGGAAGGCCGUGAGAGGGACUGGGAGAUUGGGGUUAGUAGAUGCCAACUCUUACAUUUAGAAUGGAUAAGCAAUGAGGUCCUACUCUAUAGCAUGGGGAUCUAUAUCCAGUCCCUUGGGAUAGGCCGUGAUGGAAGAUAGUAUAACAAAAGGAAUGUACGUGAAUAUAGGAGUGGGUCACCUUGCAGUAUGGCAGAAAUAGGCAUAACAUUGUAAAUCAACUACACUUUAAUUUUAAAAAUAAAUAUAGCAAUAAGUAUGGCAUAUUUUUGAAUUUCCUUAAACACAGUUGAGAACCUUGAAAUUUCCUUUUUUAAUCCAUAAGGCCUGAAGAGAAUUGACUGAGAAAUACAUCACAAUUCCUAGACAAAUCAGAAAGUGAAUACGAACAGCAUUCUUGAGAAAGCACGAUCUAGUGCAGUAGCACCUAGCUAAGUGUGGUUUUUGAGUACUAGAAAUGUGGUUGGUUUGAAUCAACUGUUAUGUAAAAUAGACACAAGAUUUUGAAGCCUGUACACAACAAUAUAUGAGAAAAUAUCUCAAUAUAUUUUUCUAUCGAUUACAUAUUAAAAUGAUAGUAUUUUGGAUAUAUUAGGUUAAAUUAAUACAUUAUUUCAAUUUACUUUUACCUAUUUAUUUAAAAAUUUUAACGUGGCUACUAGAAAAUUUAAAUUGCAUAUAUGGCUUUUAAAUUACAUAUUUCUUUUAGAACGUGCAGCUCUAGAUGGUAGUAUCAAUCACGUAAGUGAAAUAGAUUGCAUCUUCAGAUCGUAAGUUCCUGGACACUCAGAUGGAUGUCCCCAAAGUCAUGAAUCAGUGAAUGAAAAACACAUCUCUAAGGACAGAAACCAAAAUAGGGUAUUCUCAUAUGAGACAGGCUGUGUCACACAGUAUUUUGUGACAAGAACUUAGACUUUUCUGUUUCAUUAAGAGAAUGUGUGACUGUGUUGUGCCAUAUUUCAUAACAUAUAUAUGCCACAAAUUUUACUUGAUAAGUAGAUUUGCUAUGUUUAAAUUCUGAUUGCAAUUUCUAAUGAGGUUAUUUUUUUUAAACCCAUGUCUUUAUUCUUCUGUAGAUUAUUUGAAAGUGACUUUAGCAAUAAAAAUUUAGUUGGGUUUAUUUAAUCCAAUUUGAAAAUUACCUUGUGGGUACUAGACUGUGGGUUGGUUGUUUUCACCGCAAAGCAGUUCUGAGGCUGGACCAUUUAGAACUCAGUAGUACAUGUUAAGCAGUCUUUAUGGGAGACUUUUUGUAGAUUUUCAGUAACGUGAUUAUCAGGAAAGAAUGUAAGGACACCUUUGAAGGCUCAAGGUCACAUGCUGCUUUAUUCAGAAGGAGAAAAAUUAAUAGGAUUCAGACUAUGGUUACCACCACAGACCUAGAUAUUUCUAUUUUAAGAAAGAUUCCAAGUAGAAAUAGCCCCUAGGGAAAGCAAACUAUUCUAGAAUUUAUAGCAUUUUCCUUAGGCAUUUGAGGCAGUCAAAACAGGGCUUACUCAUUUCCAAAGAAUGUUUCUAAACUGCAUUUAAUUUUAAUCUUAUAAUCUAAUCUUCCUUUGCAUUGUGUAUGAUUCAAGAGCAUUUUCUUCUCUGACUGAAAAAUGUGUCCAGCUGUUUCAUAACAAACAUGGGAGAGCUGUUUACAUGCUGAUCGAGUGGCUGUCAUAUGUAAGGCCCAGAGCUAAACCCUGGAGAAUAAAGCUGAAUUCAUCCAAUUCCCUACUCUUCAGGAGCUUAUGAUGUAGGAAGUAUUGCAAAAGGGAAGAAAGAGGUUCCAGAUAAGUGGACUUCAGUAUUACAAGGAUGAGAGAGGAGAAAGGGGAGGAGAUAUGUGGAGUACCAUCAUUGUGCCAUGAAUUUUCUAUAUAUGAUGGAUCCACAAUUCUGGCAAUAUAAAAGGCAUAAAAAUGAAAGUGAAAGUCAUCCAGAAUCCUACCACCCAGAGACGGCCAUAUGAUCUUCUGGACAGGAUGUAUGUCCCAGGCCCCCACAAAUUCAUAUGUUGAUCCUAUAACUCCCCAUGUGAUAGUAUUAGGAGAUGAGGCCUCUGGGAGGUCAUUGGGUUUAGAUGAAGUCACCAGGAUGGGGUCUUCACGAUGGGAUUAGUGCCCUUUUAGAAGAAAAAGAGAGCGCUGUCUCCUUCUGUCACUUUUUCUCUGUCUUCCUCCCCAUGUGAAGUUAUAGCCACAAGGGAAGCAUCUGUAAGCUGGAACCUAACUGUGCUAGACUCUGAUCUCUGACUUCCCAGCCUCCAGAACUAUGAGAAACCAAUGUCUGUUUUUUUUUUUUUUUUUUGCUCUUUAGGGCCUUACCUGUGGCAUAUGGAGGUUCCCAGACUAGGGGUCAAAUCAGAGUUGCAGCUGCCAGCUUACACAUGCCACAGCCACAGCAAUGCGGGAUCUGAGCUGCGUCUGUGACCUACACCACAGCUCAUGGCAAUGCCAGAUCCUUAACCCAAUGAGCAAGGCCAGGGAUAAAACCCACAUCCUUAUUGAUACUAGUUGGAUUCAUUUCCACUGCCACAACCAGAACUCCCUCAAUGUCUACUGUUUAAGCCACCCCGUCUGUGGUAGUUUGUUAUGGCAGUCUGAGUGGACAGGGACACUGCAUUCAGUGUAUAACCUUCUAGAGCGGUAUGUGUACCUGAAGAUGUAUAACAUAUGAAAUACUAGUUCAUACUAUACAUGCUUAUAUAUGGUUAAAUUAUGAUCAUUUUCAAUUAACAAUAUAUCAAAAGUAUCUAUAUUUGAAUAAUAACAAAUGUCAAUUUUCACAAUUUUAACUUUAAAAAUUACCGUAAUUUUUAAUGGUUCACAAUAAAUUUUACUAUGUGCAUAUGCAGCUUAACGGCCCUGUGAUAAGCAUAUUUAUGCACUUUUGUGAACUUGUUUUUUAUUAAUAUAAAUGAAAAAAGUGGUUACCAGGUUUUAAAGAGUAUAUACUUGAUACAUAUUUAAGAUUACAUCCCCCAAAUGAAUCUUCCCACCACAGUACAUGAGGAUCAGACUUUUCUUACACCUUUGCCAAUAAUGAUAUUUUCAAUGCUCUCUGAAUCUGUCAAAUUUAUGGGUAAAUAUGAUAUCUAAGUUUUAAAAUGUUUUAUUUCUUUGCCUUCUAUUUGGACAUUUUAUUUUAUAUUUGCAAGUCUGGACACCUUAUUGUAUGCUUGCAUGUCUUCUUUAGAAAUAGUGAUUUAUGUCCUUUGCCUAUUUUCUAUUUAAGGGCCAAUCUUUUCCUCAUCAGUUUAUAUGAGACCUUAAUAUAUGAAGGAUAUUAUGUUGUAAUGGAUGUUACAAAUGUUUUCUACGACUGACUUUGAAUAUUUAUCAGUGCUUCUUAUAUGGGUUGGAAUAGCGAUGUUUUCUUAUGAGAUAUAGAAUUUCCAGAGACUAAAUGAUCUUUUCAUCUUCAUGCAUUAACGCAUAACUUUGUUCGAGGAAAGAGUGAAGUCUUUGUAGAAGCAAGCUCUAAUCAAAACUUGGAGGGAUGCUCUACUUCUCUGAACCUCAUUAAGUACAGAUAACAUAUCACAUUGAUUCGAAUCAUUAGAUAAAUUUUGAAAUAGCCAAUUCACCCUGAUACCUUAGCUAACACAAACAGUUUCAGCUAUUGACAUGAUGACCCGGGGUUAUUAUUCCCAGCAGCACAUUUCAAUUUAACAAAACUAUCAAAACAAAUUAAACUUCAAUUAUCCAAUCUGCCUGAUGAGGCUGAGGGCAGCCAGAGGCCAGGCUUUAUCGCUAGGAGCCUGCAUCUUUGUGUUUCUCAUUCCUGGUCACACCCGUCUCUUCCAGCUUCUCUCCCAGCAUCCAAAGGGAGACUCACUCCUUUGGAAAAUGCCAGGUUGAAUAACUUGUCCCAGUCAUUGGGGAGGAUAUUUCUUCUCUCAAGGAAAAUUUGAAGUUUGGGGAAGUGUUUUUCUUUAGAGCACAGCAACUGAAGUGUGCUCUCAUAGUCAGACUCAUUGAUUACCUGGUCCCCAAACCACAUUCUCCCCUUCCCCUGCCUUCCCCUGAUCGAAACAUUCAGGUUUCAGAAGAUGAGCAGAUUGUACAUGAAACUUGAAUUUAACGGAAUAUUAAUUCAGAGUAACCCUUGGAUUUGACUUCAUAUGUGUAACUUUUAUAUAGUUAAAUAUGUAUGUUUAACUUCUGCCCCCUUUUACAUUUCAAAACUUCCUUCUCUACAUACAAACUUCUCAACAUUUCCAUCCUCCCAGAAAAUAAAAUGUGUUAGCACAGAGCUACACAGCACAAAUUACCAUGCUUUCCCCAAAUAAUGCCCGUUGUUUGGAACUUUUUGCCAUUUGAAGAAGCCAAAUAGAGGGAAAAAAAUGUCAUGGGUAUCUAAUGAAACAAAUCCGCCAACACUCAAAUUCUUCAGUUUUUAGAGGUCCUUUGCUCCACUGAUGCCUCUUGGGGAAAUCCUGAAAAAUAAUCUAUCUGUAAACAAUCUAUUUCAGUGCCACAUGUUUUCUAAAUUUCUUUGCCUCUUGACCUUCAAAGAAAGAAAAACAUAUUUGCAUGUGAAAACAGGACUUUUUGUUUCUUAUACAUCUAUUCUAUCAGAGAAAGUUAAGUUGAAAUCGGUCGUUUUGCCUAAUUGCUUGUGAAGGAUCAUUUUUUUCUGAAGGACAUUGCCUAGUUCUUUGGCCAACCUUAAUUAUUAUUAUUUAUUUUCUUUUUAGGGCCACUCCUGUGGCAUAUGGAAGUUCCUGGGCUAGGGGUCAAAUCAGAGCUUCAGCUGCUGGCCUUCACCUCAGCCACACCAAAGCUUUAAUCCAUUGAGCGAGGCUGGGGAUCAACCUGCAUCCUCAUGGACACUAAGUUGGGUUCUUAACCCACUGAGCCAUAACAGUAACUCCUUGGCCAACAUUAUUUUAAAAUGCUAAGGUCUGGAGUUCCUGUAUGGCUCAGAGGAAAUGAACUCAACUACUCUCCAAGAGGAUGUAGGUUCAAUCCCUGAUGGCUCAAAUCUGGCAUUGCUGUGGCUGUGGUGUAGGCUGGCAGCUGUAACUCCAUUUCGACCCUAGCCUGGGAACCUCCAUAUGCUGCAUCUGUGG